RNAcentral lists this ribosomal RNA (861 nucleotides) under uncultured archaeon. Its description in RNAcentral is "SSU rRNA". It matches the Rfam family "Archaeal small subunit ribosomal RNA", at positions 474 to 1337 of the family's 1478-position model. The record is from RNAcentral.
UACCUGCAGCUCUAGUGGUGGCCACUAUUAUUGGGCCUAGAACGUCCGUAGCCGGCUUAUUAAAUGCCUGGGUAAAUCGUAUGGCUCAACCAUACGAAUUCCGGGUAGACUGAUAGGCUUGGGACCGGGAGAAGCUAGAGGUACUCAUGGGGUAGAGGUGAAAUUCUGUAAUCCUAGGGGGACCACCAGUGGCGAAGGCGUCUAGCUAGAACGGGUUUGACGGUGAGGGACGAAGCCCUGGGGAGCAAACGGGAUUAGAUACCCCGGUAGUCCAGGGUGUAAACGCUGCUUGCUUGAUGUUAGUCGGGCUCCGAGCCCGAUUAGUGUCGGAGAGAAGUUGUUAAGCAAGCUGCCUGGGAAGUACGGCCGCAAGACUGAAACUUAAAGGAAUUGGCGGGGGAGCACUGCAACAGGUGGAGCGUGCGGUUUAAUUGGAUUCAACGCCGGAAAGCUCACCGGAGGCGACGGUUAUAUGAAGGCCAGGCUAAUGACCUUGCCAGAUUUUCCGAGAGGUGGUGCAUGGCCGUCGUCAGUUCGUACCGUAAGGCGUUCUGUUAAGUCAGACAACGAACAAGACCCUCAUCUUUAAUUGCAACUGGUAAGUCCGCUUAUCAGGCACAUUAAAGAAACCGCUGGUGCUAAAUCAGAGGAAGGUGAGGGCAACGGUAGGUCAGUAUGCCCUGAAUCCUCCGGGCUACACGCGCGCUACAAAGGAUAGGACAAUGGGUCCCGACACUGAAAGGUGAAGGUAAUCUUGAAACCUAUUCAUAGUUCGGAUCGAGGGUUGUAACUCACCUUCGUGAAGCUGGAAUCUGUAGUAAUCGCGGAUCAACAUCCCGCGGUGAAUAUGCCCCUGCUCCU